UCCAGCAGCAGUAUCAUCCUGCAACCCACAGCUGGCAGCCCACUGAACCUCAGCAGUGUGAGCCUGGUCAGUACCUGGAUGGGAGACCUCCUGGGAGAGCUGAGGCUGCUGCUGGAA
RNAcentral lists this ribosomal RNA (117 nucleotides) under Lepisosteus oculatus (spotted gar). The record is from RNAcentral. Lineage: Eukaryota; Metazoa; Chordata; Actinopteri; Semionotiformes; Lepisosteidae.